RNAcentral lists this ribosomal RNA (986 nucleotides) under Klebsiella sp. MSI78. RNAcentral describes it as "bacterial SSU rRNA". It matches the Rfam family "Bacterial small subunit ribosomal RNA", at positions 102 to 1084 of the family's 1533-position model. Lineage: Bacteria; Pseudomonadati; Pseudomonadota; Gammaproteobacteria; Enterobacterales; Enterobacteriaceae. The record is from RNAcentral.
ACAGGUGAGUAAUGUCUCCCAAACUGGGUGAUGGAGGGGGAUAACUACUCGAAACGGUAGCUAAUACCGCAUAAUGUCGCAAGACCAAAGUGGGGGACCUUCGGGCCUCAUGCCAUCAGAUGUGCCCAGAUGGGAUUAGCUAGUAGGUGGACGAUCCCUACACCUAGGCGACGAUCCCUAGCUGGUCUGAGAGGAUGACCAGCCACACUGGAACUGAGACACGGUCCAGACUCCUACGGGAGGCAGCAGUGGGGAAUAUUGCACAAUGGGCGCAAGCCUGAUGCAGCCAUGCCGCGUGUGUGAAGAAGGCCUUCGGGUUGUAAAGCACUUUCAGCGGGGAGGAAGGCGGUGAGGUUAAUAACCUUGUCGAUUGACGUUACCCGCAGAAGACGAGUGGCGGAACUCCGUGCCAGCAGCCGCGGUAAUACGGAGGGUGCAAGCGUUAAUCGGAAUUACUGGGCGUAAAGCGCACGCAGGCGGUCUGUCAAGUCGGAUGUGAAAUCCCCGGGCUCAACCUGGGAACUGCAUUCGAAACUGGCAGGCUAGAGUCUUGUAGAGGGCGGUAGCACACCAGGUGUAGCGGUGAAAUGCGUAGAGAUCUGGAGGAAUACCGGUGGCGAAGGCGGCCCCCUGGACAAAGACUGACGCUCAGGUGCGAAAGCGUGGGGAGCAAACAGGAUUAGAUACCCUGGUAGUCCACGCUGGUCUGAAUGUCGAUUUGGAGGUUGUGCCCUUGAGGCGUGGCUUCCGGAGCUAACGCGUUAAAUCGACCGCCUGGGGAGUACGGCCGCAAGGUUAAAACUCAAAUGAAUUGACGGGGGCCCGCACAAGCGGUGGAGCAUGUGGUUUAAUUCGAUGCAACGCGAAGAACCUUACCUGGUCUUGACAUCCACAGAACUUUCCAGAGAUGGAUUGGUGCCUUCGGGAACUGUGAGACAGGUGCUGCAUGGAGGCAGCAGUCUCGUGUUGCGAAAUGUUAGAUUAUU